UGAACGCUGGCGGCGUGCCUACUACAUGCACGUCGAGCGAACAGAUGAGGAGCUUGCUCCUCUGACGUUAGCGGCGGACGGGUGAGUAACACGUGGAUAACCUACCUAUAAGACUGGGAUAACUUCGGGAAACCGGAGCUAAUACCGGAUAAUAUAUUGAACCGCAUGGUUCAAUAGUGAAAGACGGUUUUGCUGUCACUUAUAGAUGGAUCCGCGCCGCAUUAGCUAGUUGGUAAGGUAACGGCUUACCAAGGCAACGAUGCGUAGCCGACCUGAGAGGGUGAUCGGCCACACUGGAACUGAGACACGGUCCAGACUCCUACGGGAGGCAGCAGUAGGGAAUCUUCCGCAAUGGGCGAAAGCCUGACGGAGCAACGCCGCGUGAGUGAUGAAGGUCUUCGGAUCGUAAAACUCUGUUAUUAGGGAAGAACAAAUGUGUAAGUAACUAUGCACGUCUUGACGGUACCUAAUCAGAAAGCCACGGCUAACUACGUG
RNAcentral lists this ribosomal RNA (495 nucleotides) under uncultured bacterium. RNAcentral's name for it is "partial 16S ribosomal RNA". It matches the Rfam family "Bacterial small subunit ribosomal RNA", at positions 30 to 507 of the family's 1533-position model. The record is from RNAcentral.